AUGACCCAGCCAGGCCAGGUCCUCCACCUCUACCUGGAAGUGCGCUCCCCAGGAGGAGGAGGAGAUGAGCAGUCAAAUCCUCGGAUGCUCCAAGGUCCUAGCCCCCCCCCCCCCUCUCGCCGGACCCCCCCCCAUGGACCGCCCCCCCGCCCCAGGACCAGCAGAGAUCCCAGCUCCCUUCCCCCGGACCCCUUGGACCCCCAGCACCCGGGAGCCCCCCAGCACCCGGGAGCCCCCCCUACGGAUCUGCCCCCCCCCCAGAGCCGGCGCUGCCAGGACCCGGACCGGACAAGACUCCUCACCCCUCCAGAGCCCCUCCCCCCCCGGGGAGGCCCCGGUCCGGGGCGAGGGAUGCUGUCGGCCCCGCCCGCCUCCCCCAGGCCACGUCCUGAGGCGGGCCAGCGGUCUGUGGUGACCUUCAGCUACGUGCAGAAGGCCAACGUCCAGAGCCUGGACCCCCCCGGGACCCGGGACCCCCCCAGGACCCGGGACCCCCCCGGGACCCACGACCACCCCGAUUCCCGUGACCGGCCCGGGAUAAGGGACCCCCCCUGGACCCUAGACCGGCCUGGGACCCGGGACCCCCCCGGGACCCAGGACUACCCAGAUUCCCGGGACCGGCCCGGGACCCAGGACUACCCCGAUUCCCGGGACCGGCCCGGGACCAGGGACUGCCCUGGGACCCGGGAGCCGAGGUGGACGGCCGACCGGACGGACCCCCCCUCGCCGUGGGGGGGGGAGGAGCCUGACAGGAUGGACCCCCCCUGGUGCCAGACCCCCCAUGGCUCCCCCAAUCGCAGCCGGACCGGCCCGGAGCCCCCACGGACCCCAGAGGAUGGGGGCUCCCCUGCCCCCCGGCGUGGGCCGGCCGGCCCAUGUCCGGGGGGCCACAGCCCCAGUCUGCCCCGACAGCCGGUGUCCCCCUGCGGAGGGUCCUGGGCCGGGUCCGGGUCCGGGUCCUGGUCCGGGUCCUGGGCUAGGGGCCCGGUCUCCCCGCGGGCCGCCCGCACCCUGCCCUGCAGACCCCCAGCCCAGGUCCCCGAUCCGGCGAGCAGCAGCUGGUCCGGGGGGCCUCAAAGGAGCCCCAUGCUGGACCGCUCCUCCUCCCCUGCCAGGAGGUCCCAGAACCAGGACCCCCCACCGCCCUGGCUGGGGGACGAGAGCCCCCGCUUAUCCAGCCGCUACCGACCCCCGUUGCAUGCUGGGAGGCCCACUGACAUCCAGCACCACAUCCCUGCUAGCACUAGCACUAGCUACCAUAGUAGCCCCCCCUGCAGCAUUAGCCCCAAUGCUAGCCCAACGUUCAGCACUAGCUACCAUGCUAGCCCCCCCCGCAGCAUUAGCCCCCAUGCUAGCCCAACGUUCAGCACAAGCUACUAUGCUAGCCCCCCGUUAGUCACUAGCUACCAUGCUAGCCCACCGUUUAGCACUAGCUACCAUUCUAAUCCACCGUUAGGAGCUAGCUACCAUGCUAGCCACCAUGCUAGCCCCCCCUGCAGGACGAGCUACCAUCUUAGCGACACCAGCAUGGCCUUGAGUCACAGCGCUCACAAUGAUCGCAGCACUGGUAACAAUAACAUGCACCAACAUGCUAGGAAUAGCAUGCAUCCUAGUGCUAGCAGUAGCCCUCACAGGUCAGUCUAUUCACCCCAAGGCUACGGCAUCGCUAGCGAUGCUAGCAAUGCUAGCAGUGCUAGAAGACCAUCUGCUAGCAGCCGGAGCAGCUCCCCCGCUAGGAGCCCUGAAGUAGCUCGUAGGCUAGCUAACAGGCUAGCCCUGGAGGCAUCCCGGUCCUCCCUGUUCACCGAGCGCCGCAGCCCCCCCCCUGAAGACCCACCGCCUGACGGCCCCCUGGUGGAGGGGCUCAUUCACGGAACAACCUCGCCCUGGGCCUCCCCCCCCGCCACCCCCCAGGACCCGGCCCCCCUGCUGAGAGCAGAACCAGACCGUUUGGGACGUGGGGGCACCCUCUGUCCAGUGGGGGGAGGCCAGGACCCCUGGAACCGGCACCCCGCCCCCUCCAGCCCCGCCCCCUCCAGCCCCGCCCCUUCAGGCCACGCCCCCUCGAGCCAUGCCCCUUCAGGCCACGCCAAUUCAGCCCUUCAGCCUCCUCAGUUCAGGGGGGAGGGGGGCUCCAGGAGGCUGCUGACCCCUAGAGAAGAGGCUCCUCCAGGGGGCCCCUCCCCCCGAGACCUGGACCCGGGGACCCCCCCGGAAUCCCGAGGGGGGGCGGGGCCCUCUCCUCACACAGAGGAGGGGGACGGAGGAGGAGGAGCGGAGGGGCGGAGGAGAGGGGCGGGGUCCUCCUCCCAGAGCUCCAGCGGGGUGACGGGCAGCGUGUCCGGCAGCGGGGGGGGCAGCGGAGGGGGCGGGGCCAGCGGGGGAGGCGGGGCCUCCCAGACGGACGCGGAGGGCAGUCUGUCCCCAGAAAGCUGCAGCCAGUCCAGUCAGCGGAGCGACACGCCCACAACACCACAGGUGGGGCGGGGUCUAUGUUAA
RNAcentral lists this long non-coding RNA (2499 nucleotides) under Gadus morhua (Atlantic cod). RNAcentral describes it as "lncRNA (ENSGMOG00000024832.1)". The record is from RNAcentral. Lineage: Eukaryota; Metazoa; Chordata; Actinopteri; Gadiformes; Gadidae.